RNAcentral lists this transfer RNA (68 nucleotides) under Atelopus elegans. RNAcentral's name for it is "tRNA-Val". It matches the Rfam family "tRNA". Rfam says of the family: Transfer RNA (tRNA) molecules are approximately 80 nucleotides in length. Their secondary structure includes four short double-helical elements and three loops (D, anti-codon, and T loops). Further hydrogen bonds mediate the characteristic L-shaped molecular structure. tRNAs have two regions of fundamental functional importance: the anti-codon, which is responsible for specific mRNA codon recognition, and the 3' end, to which the tRNAs corresponding amino acid is attached (by aminoacyl-tRNA synthetases). tRNAs cope with the degeneracy of the genetic code in two manners: having more than one tRNA (with a specific anti-codon) for a particular amino acid; and 'wobble' base-pairing, i.e. permitting non-standard base-pairing at the 3rd anti-codon position. The record is from RNAcentral. Lineage: Eukaryota; Metazoa; Chordata; Amphibia; Anura; Bufonidae.
CGAAAUGUAGCUUAACUAAAGCACCUCGCUUACACCGAGAAGAUGUUUACUAAACCAAACCAUCUCGA